This is a long non-coding RNA of Daucus carota subsp. sativus, 554 nucleotides long. RefSeq lists it as uncharacterized. The record is from RefSeq and is a predicted model, not a curated record. Lineage: Eukaryota; Viridiplantae; Streptophyta; Magnoliopsida; Apiales; Apiaceae. The transcript is spliced from 3 exons.
UUUAUAAGUUGAGGAUGCGUAAAAGCAAAGCAUAACUCCGCCGCACUCCUCUAUCCCAUGAACCUAUAUUAAACCACUCUACCAUAAAUUGAUUUUCCUAAACUCUAUUGCCUCUAAAAUCUAUUUCAACUCACAAACCUAAGGGUCCUCACCAACAUAAGGGUGGUUUAUAAGCAGCCCUGGUGAUGAGCAAAGUAACUUUAUGAACAAUGAAGAAGGUUGAAGGCCAUCCAUGGCCCCCAUCCACAGGCUUUAGAAAAAGUGUUGCUGGUUAGUGUUGACACAUUCUCCUCACCAUCCUAAGGAUGGUUCAUAAGGUAAUGGCUCGUACAACUCAUGUUAUUUGUUACAUGCUGUGAAAUUUUUAUUUGUAUGGCUUGUGCCUAUUUAUGUAUGUAUAAUUAUGUGUUAUGCUUUUUUAUAUAAGUUUGAAUUAUAAUAUUUUUGUACGUUUUCUAUUAAGUUUGUAAAUUCAAUAUAUAUACAUCUAUGAUAGAAUUAUUUCUCUUUUAUUUGUUUAUUGAUUUAGUGAUUAGAAAUCUUUUGUUGUAUUA